UACGUAGGGGGCUAGCGUUGUCCGGAAUCAUUGGGCGUAAAGCGCGUGUAGGCGGUCCGGUAAGUCCGCUGUGAAAGUCGAGGGCUCAACCCUCGAAUGCCGGUGGAUACUGUCGGGCUAGAGUGCGGAAGAGGUGAGUGGAAUUCCUGGUGUAGCGGUGAAAUGCGCAGAUAUCGGUAGGAACACCAGUGGCGAAGGCGGUCUCCUGGGGCAUUCUUGACGCUGAGGCGCGAAAGCUGGGGGAGCAAACGGG
This 253-nucleotide ribosomal RNA is filed under the name uncultured bacterium. RNAcentral's name for it is "partial 16S ribosomal RNA". It matches the Rfam family "Bacterial small subunit ribosomal RNA", at positions 524 to 776 of the family's 1533-position model. The record is from RNAcentral.